Meleagris gallopavo (turkey) is the source of this 5179-nucleotide non-coding RNA. Lineage: Eukaryota; Metazoa; Chordata; Aves; Galliformes; Phasianidae. The record is from RefSeq and is a predicted model, not a curated record.
GUGCUGUUUUUGUUAUUCUGAAACCAUAUUUGUCUAGCUGGGAGUCAUUUUUCACUCAAAGGAAUGUGGUUCUGCUGCAUGUCUUCAGGGAAUCAUAGGAACCCCAUGGUUUCUAUGAACUCAGAUGUUUUCAGGAUAUCAGCUGUGAAAAUCAUGCAUUCACAAGAAUUGAAGCUGCCUGACAGUCCCUGGAGGUAUAAAGAAGCAAAGUGUUGGUAUUACAAUGUCCAGUGCAUAAUUCAGCCUUGGAGACUGUUUUUGCUUUCAGAUACAGCGUUGUCUUUCAUUUCUUAAAACUGUUCAGAUCUUGAUUUAAUCACUAAUUUAUGACCAGAAAUAUCUUAACCUGACUUUGGUUACACAAAAAUGGAAGACCUUACAAAAGCAAAAGUACAUAUUACAUUUCAUUGAAGAAAAUGUCACAUAAAGAAAUGUUUACAGUUAAGCAAAAAGUAAAAUGUAUUUUGGCGAUGAAUUUACAUAUACAUUAAGUGCUUUGCUGAAACAAGGCCAACAUAUUAAAUAUAUGUAGAAGUAACCAUGUAGGCGAAAAUCCUGGCCAUACUGAGUCUGAUGUAAAACUCCUAAAGGGGGCAUAAAUUUACUUUAGGCCAUCUCUGGCAAAUCUGAAUAAGAUUGUAUAAGUUUAUUUAUGUAAGCAUAUAUUGAAAUUCGGAGAUUCACGUUUUUGAGGAUCUUUGUAAGAAAUUAUUUCAGCCAUUUUUUUUAAACAAUCUUUUGUUAACAACAGUUACAAAUAAGAUACUUUAAAAUAAUCAAACUCAGAUAUUUAAAAUUCCAUUUUUCACAAUGAAGAAGAGCUAUUUAAAACUUAUUCUUAAGGUUUUUUGGUUGUUUUUUUUUGGUGGUUUAAUAGGAAAUGCUGAGUAAAUAUUUUUAGACUGAAAUUCUACAGCACAAAUAUUCUACUGCUUAUGUAACCCCAGAUUCCUAUCUGGAACAGCCUUCAGAUUUAACUUGAAGACAAGUCAUUUGUGUACAGCUUCAGUCACGACUGGUAUUGAUUUUUAUCCUGAGAUGCUCAUGUCUCUAUCUCAACUCUAACAUCCAAAAAAAUCAUAAUUGCUUGUGUUCCGUCACACUGUUUCAUUGCUUUUCUAUGAAUGGUCUGUGCAGAGUAUGUUGUAAACCACAUAAUUUAUUUAAAGAAACAGAAAAAACUUCUUACUGCAUUUUACUUUAUUACUAUUAGAUUUGUUCUGGUAUCAAAUUAAUAUUUCAAGUUGUCAUGUUAGUUUCAUGUUUUGCACAUUUCUGUACCCCUUUCUUUUAUUAUUCUCUGACUGAAAAAAUAAAGUAUAUUAUUCUCCAGAAACUUUAUGCUAGAAAUUUUUAAAAAUGUUUUUAUGUGGAAAGUAAUAAAUAAUUACUAUUACUUUAGCAGCAAAUAUACCUUUGUCAUUAUUGAGUUAUUUCCUAAUUACAACAAAAGAAAAGCAUUAGUAUGAGAAAGACAGAUGUGAAUAUAUGUGGUAUAGAAAUAUCUCUGCGUGAUAGCAUAGGACAAAACUGUGCCUCGCUUGUGAGAGUUGGCUGCUCCUUAAUCAAUCACUUGUGAAAAAUAUAGGGUUGGAAGGAAUGGGAUUCUUUUAGUAAUUUUCAUCUUUGUGAAAUAUUUGGUUUGGACCAUGAAACUGUAGAUGCAGGAGGCCACACAGCUGGAAAGUGGUGGCAGAAAAAGACCAGCAGUGUCCUGGGCUGCAUUAGGAGAAGCAUUGCUAGUGGGUUGAGGGAUGUGACCCUCUUUGCUCAGCCCUGAUGAGCACUGUGUAUAGUGCUGGGCUCUCUCUUACAAGAAUGAUAAGAAUAUAUGCGAGAGAACCCCAUGCAAGACCACAAAGAUGAUGAAAGGAUUCUGUGAGGAAAAGCUGAGAGAACUAGUGCUGAGAAAGCUGUUGAGCUUGGAGAAAAGAAGUUUCAGAUUUUAUCAAAUAUAUAUUAAUACCUGAAAUAAGAAUGCAAAGUAGAUGGAGUACCCAGUGAUAGGACAAGAGGCAAAGGGCACAAACAGAAACAGGAUCUGUCUGAACAUCAGGAAAGACUUUUUCUCUAUGAGGGUGACCAAGCACUGGCAUAGGUUGUGAAGUCUCCCUCCUUGGAGAUAUCUUGAAGAUGUCUGGACAUAAUCCUGGGAAAAUAGCUCUAGGCCUUGAUUAUCAUGAGUGUGAGGAAAGAUGACCUCCAAAGGUCAACCAGUCUGUGAUUAACUUACAGAAAAAUUGAACAAAAAUACUAAAUUUCCAAAAAUUUGUUUUCCGGAAAAAACAAAUCCCAGAAUUGAUAAGGAUUUUCUAAAACAAAAGAUAGCUGCAUUAAUUAUUUGAUGAGUAGCUUGUGAACUUUUAAUAAUAAAUGCAAGUGAGAAAAGUGUUGAAUUGCUAGUUGAAAAACUGCAAACAAUUUAGAAAGGAAAAAUAUCAUGAAAAAUAUCUAAGAAGACUUUUAAAAGAGUCUAUUAAAUCUCAAAGGAAGAGUAAAACAGUAGUUUUAUUUUAUAAAAGUAAGUAAGAAUUCCUUUCCUUCUAUUCUGGAACAGACUUGUUUAAUGUCCAAAAACCACACGAAGUCCUGAGUAAAAUUUACUAGGUUGACUACAUUCAACCUGAAAAUUCUUGAAUGUAACUACAGUUGUCCUCCUAGACUCAUGAAAAUGAGAUGACAUCUCUGGAGGAUAAACAGAACAGCUCCUGCUUAAAGUGGAACUGUUUCUGUAUGCGCGUGGAUAAAUUCUUGUCUACUUCUUGACUUAAAUUCAUUUUUGAAACCAGGAGAGUGCUUGCUUAUCUGAACCACAGACUUAGACUACUUUACACACAUCAGCAGUACUGAAGUCAGAGUAAAAUACAGAAGUUGCUCAAAUAUUCAUAGAUAUUACGAAUAUCUAUGCAUUUAAUAAAGAAAUAUGAGAUCUUUUACCUCUCUAGCUUGCAGAAUGAAAUAUCAUACUAGUUAGCUAAUAAUCAUUGUGUUUAGUUAAUUGUUAACUAAAUUUAGUUAAUUUAGUGAUUUUCACUUCAAUAACUUUAUAAUGCAAAACACAAAACAAGAGAAGAACUGGAAUCAGCAAGCAGGAUGGUAUCUUUUAGAUUUGAGUACGAAAGAUUAUUUAGUGUUUAAUUUAAUUCAGCAUAAAGCAAAAUGGAUUUUAAUUUUUUAUUAUUUUUAUCACUGUAACUUAAUAUAUACAUCGCUCUUAAAACAUCCACAGAAUUGAGAAAGACUAUGGCCAAUGUAAAAACAGGACAACAGGACUUCUCCAUGACUUAUUCUAUAGAAGAGUAUCUGGAGAUAGGUGGGGUGUCAUAACACAAGUCUUAUAAGGAGUGGCUGAGGGAGCUGAGAUUGGAGAAGAGGAGGCUCAGCGGAGACCUUAUCGCUGCCUACAACUACAUGAAAAGAGGUUGUGAUGAGGUGGGAGUCAGCCUCUUCUCCUUAGUAACUAGUGAUAGGACUAGAGGGCAUGACCUCAAGUUGUGACAUGGGAGGUUCAGGUUGGUUGUUAGAAAAAAUUUCUUUCCUGAAAGAGUGGGCAGGUGCUGGAAUGUACUGCCCAGGGAGGUGGUUGGGUCACCAUCCCUGGAGAUGUCCAAGAAAUGUUUAAUUGUUUUACUAAGGGAUGUGUUUAGAGGGGAAAUAUUGGUGCUAGGUGAAUGGUUGGACUGCUAAUUGUAGUGUAUGUAUCUUUCCCUCACAGCCUGUUCCUGCCUUGUACAGUCUUAGGUUUCUUACAGAUUAUUAGGUACUUUUUCUAUUAAGAUAAAUAAAUUGUGAACUUAAAUCUUUGUUCUAAAACAGCAGCUGCUGUGAUUGGUGAGAUUUUUACGUAUCAGCAUCAUCUUGAGUUUAUGGUAUUUCUUAUCAUUAUUUUACUAUAUGUUAACUGGAUAUACGCCCCAUGUUUCUGUUUCCAAGAAUAAUGUACAGUGUCAAGCUUUGACAAGAAUGACACAGGCAGGAUAGCAGCAGAGCUAGCAACUUCUGAGCAGAGCUGUAUUAAGACAAUUCACUUCCACUGACACCAUGAAACUACAAUUUAGAGAAGACUAUCUAAAAUAAUCAAACAAUUGAGAGAUGACAUCCGUAAGCAGUUUUAAGAGAGGCAACUUACGUGCUUUUCAGAAGAACUGAUUGACUGGGAGGAUGAGGAAUUUGAAACCAUUUUACAUAGAAGUAGUUCAUCUAAAUAGAUAUUCUGAGAAGAAAAAAUCUUGACUUCAUUAACUGUAGCUUACAACAAAGGAAAUAAGAAGCCAAAGACUGCAGAUCUAAUCAAGUAGUGCUUUUAAAAGUAGAGUUUUGUUCGAUAUAUGCAGUAAAGAAUGCUAGCUUAUACAAGAUUAAAAAUAUUUAUGCAUAUUAUAUUUUAUAGAUAUAUAAAACACAUACAUUUAAAACUCAAGAUUGCAUUUUUUUACUGUAUGUUUCUCGCUACAAUAAAUGUAUUUCUCUCAUAAAUAAUUGACUGUUUGUCUUCUACUAUUUUUGCUUACACAAAAAUUUGUUUUGCCAUUACUGGUGGAUAGUCCAAAGGCUUCACAGAUUCACAGAAUCAUGGAAUUGCAGGGGUUAGAUCUUAAGAGAUCAUUGAGCCCAACACCCCUACUAAAGCAGGUACCCUACAAUAGUUGCACAGGUAGGCAUCCAAACGGAUCUUGAAUAUCUCUAUAGAAGACUCCACAACUUCUUUGGGCAACCUAUUGCAGUGCUCCAUUAUCCUGUAUAGAAGUUCUUUCACAUGAUAGUAAGGAGCUUCCUCCAUUCAAAUCUUAGGCCAUUACUCCUUGUCCUAUCACUACAUACCGCCAAGAAGAGCCUGGCCUCAUCCAUUUACCUCCCACCUUCCUUUAGAUAUUUCUUUAUCUAUUUUGUUUACAUUACCCAUGGUAAAAAACAAAAACAAACAAAGAAACAAACAAAUUCUUUUUACUUAGUUAAGGCUCAUGCAAUGUGAAUGAAAUGUGCAUUAAAAACAUUCAGCAAUAUUAUUAAUGUAGAAUGAUGAAGUCUGUAUAAUCAUAGGUUAAUUGCAGAGUUAAUGUAUUUUGGUAACAUUUUCUUUAGUACAUUUGGUACAGUUUGAUAUCAUCUUAAUGUGUCAGAUUACCGUUUGACCAGAAACCUAUUCUCAAGUAUGCAGUUUUUAUUAAGAGGAAAAUAU